GAAGGUAUAGCUCAGUGGUAAAGUACAUGCUUAUCAUACAUGAGGUCCUAGAUUCAAUACUCAGUACCUCCA
Molecule: transfer RNA, 72 nt
Filed under: Camelus bactrianus (Bactrian camel)
Lineage: Eukaryota; Metazoa; Chordata; Mammalia; Artiodactyla; Camelidae
Also listed under: 2 other names
Rfam family: tRNA
About the family: Transfer RNA (tRNA) molecules are approximately 80 nucleotides in length. Their secondary structure includes four short double-helical elements and three loops (D, anti-codon, and T loops). Further hydrogen bonds mediate the characteristic L-shaped molecular structure. tRNAs have two regions of fundamental functional importance: the anti-codon, which is responsible for specific mRNA codon recognition, and the 3' end, to which the tRNAs corresponding amino acid is attached (by aminoacyl-tRNA synthetases). tRNAs cope with the degeneracy of the genetic code in two manners: having more than one tRNA (with a specific anti-codon) for a particular amino acid; and 'wobble' base-pairing, i.e. permitting non-standard base-pairing at the 3rd anti-codon position.
Source: Rfam by way of RNAcentral